Molecule: ribosomal RNA, 386 nt
Filed under: Telonemia sp.
Lineage: Eukaryota; Telonemia
Description: partial small subunit ribosomal RNA
Rfam family: Eukaryotic small subunit ribosomal RNA
Source: RNAcentral
AUUCCAGCUCCAAUAGCGUAUAUUAAAGUUGUUGCAGUUAAAAAGCUCGUAGUUGGAUCUCAGGGUGAGCUCAGUUGGUCGGCCUAAUUGGUCAGAACUGGCUGACUCUCCCUUGUUUCUGAACCCCGGUCGGAGUUAAUUCUUCGUUCGUGGACUUCAGAUCGUUUACCUUGAAAAAAUUAGAGUGUUCAAAGCGGGCGUUUGCUUGAAUACAUUAGCAUGGAAUAAUGGAAUAGGACCCUGGUUCUAUUUUGUUGGUUUUGAGGACCAGAGUAAUGAUUAAUAGGGAUAGUUGGGGGCAUUCAUAUUUAAUUGUCAGAGGUGAAAUUCUUGGAUUUAUGAAAGAUGAACUUCUGCGAAAGCAUUUGCCAAGGAUGUUUUCAUUA